AUAAUGGGUCAGCGACUUAUAUUCUGUAGCAAGGUUAACCGAAUAGGGGAGCCGAAGGGAAACCGAGUCUUAACUGGGCGUUAAGUUGCAGGGUAUAGACCCGAAACCCGGUGAUCUAGCCAUGGGCAGGUUGAAGGUUGGGUAACACUAACUGGAGGACCGAACCGACUAAUGUUGAAAAAUUAGCGGAUGACUUGUGGCUGGGGGUGAAAGGCCAAUCAAACCGGGAGAUAGCUGGUUCUCCCCGAAAGCUAUUUAGGUAGCGCCUCGUGAAUUCAUCUCCGGGGGUAGAGCACUGUUUCGGCAAGGGGGUCAUCCCGACUUACCAACCCGAUGCAAACUGCGAAUACCGGAGAAUGUUAUCACGGGAGACACACGGCGGGUGCUAACGUCCGUCGUGAAGAGGGAAACAACCCAGACCGCCAGCUAAGGUCCCAAAGUCAUGGUUAAGUGGGAAACGAUGUGGGAAGGCCCAGACAGCCAGGAUGUUGGCUUAGAAGCAGCCAUCAUUUAAAGAAAGCGUAAUAGCUCACUGGUCGAGUCGGCCUGCGCGGAAGAUGUAACGGGGCUAAACCAUGCACCGAAGCUGCGGCAGCGACGCUUAUGCGUUGUUGGGUAGGGGAGCGUUCUGUAAGCCUGCGAAGGUGUGCUGUGAGGCAUGCUGGAGGUAUCAGAAGUGCGAAUGCUGACAUAAGUAACGAUAAAGCGGGUGAAAAGCCCGCUCGCCGGAAGACCAAGGGUUCCUGUCCAACGUUAAUCGGGGCAGGGUGAGUCGACCCCUAAG
This 784-nucleotide ribosomal RNA is filed under the name Escherichia coli. Its description in RNAcentral is "partial 23S ribosomal RNA". It matches the Rfam family "Bacterial large subunit ribosomal RNA", at positions 612 to 1395 of the family's 2925-position model. Lineage: Bacteria; Pseudomonadati; Pseudomonadota; Gammaproteobacteria; Enterobacterales; Enterobacteriaceae. The record is from RNAcentral.